This 143-nucleotide small nucleolar RNA is filed under the name Anabas testudineus (climbing perch). Its description in RNAcentral is "Small nucleolar RNA SNORA79 (ENSATEG00000028749.1)". It matches the Rfam family "Small nucleolar RNA SNORA79". Rfam says of the family: ACA65 (SNORA79) is a member of the H/ACA class of snoRNAs that guide the sites of modification of uridines to pseudouridines. Lineage: Eukaryota; Metazoa; Chordata; Actinopteri; Anabantiformes; Anabantidae. The record is from Rfam by way of RNAcentral.
CGACGUCGGUUCCUCCUCCUGGCUGCAGUGAAUCAGGAGGAUUUUACGACGUCGCAGAGAAAUCUGGGUCUUUUUCACCCGGGAAGCUUCAGGCUGUAGCCAAAACUUAAAACUGCUUCCUGGUUUUGCGGGACCCAACAAAG